GUCCACACCGUAAACGAUGAUUACUAGGUGUGGGGACUGACCCCUUCCGUGCCGGAGUUAACACAAUAAGUAAUCCACCUGGGGAGUACGGCCGCAAGGUUGAAACUCAAAGGAAUUGACGGGGCCCGCACAAGCAGUGGAGUAUGUGGUUUAAUUCGACGCAACGCGAAGAACCUUACCAGGUCUUGACAUCGUAUGCAUAGUGUAGAGAUACACGAAGUCCUUCGGGACAUACAGACAGGUGGUGCAUGGUUGUCGU
RNAcentral lists this ribosomal RNA (259 nucleotides) under uncultured bacterium. RNAcentral describes it as "partial 16S ribosomal RNA". It matches the Rfam family "Bacterial small subunit ribosomal RNA", at positions 793 to 1055 of the family's 1533-position model. The record is from RNAcentral.